This is a long non-coding RNA of Rhododendron vialii, 581 nucleotides long. RefSeq lists it as uncharacterized. The record is from RefSeq and is a predicted model, not a curated record. The transcript is spliced from 3 exons. Lineage: Eukaryota; Viridiplantae; Streptophyta; Magnoliopsida; Ericales; Ericaceae.
CUUCAACCCAUAAUCCAUAUCUACUCGUACCUACCCAAAACCAUCCAAAUCCGUCCAAGGUUAUACACGUAUUUGGUAUCUCGAUUGUAGAUUUCUGUUUUCUUAGACAUUGGAUUCACUCAGUUCACGCCGUCAACCAUCGUAGCAACUUCUGUUCUCAUUGUUUCAUUGGAACUGUUCCCGAUGCAAGCUGAGAAGUUUAACAGGGUCGUUUUAUCUUCCGAGUUCAUUCGAGAGGACGAGGUGUUUCGGUGCAUGAAUGACAUGCGGAAUAAGUUUAAGGGCGAUAAGGCCUUGACAUGGUCAAUUGGUCGUUGGUCUGGGGAAGACAUUCCUUUUAUGAACUUUGAACUGCACUGGACGAAUGGCCCUCAGCCUAAGGUAACCUCAAAGCCCAGCCUUUUUACUAUUAGCAUAGGGUGGGAACAAAUAAUAAUGUAAUAUAAAGAAAGAGAAAUUUAUUUUCUCUAGGUUGAAUGAGCAAUAACAAUCCUUUUUCUUUUGACGUCCUCUGUUUUUCCAUUGGCUCUGACAUUUGAGGCAAUUGAACAACGAAAUGUUUUCGGGCUAAUAUUUUCAUG